UGGGGAAUUUUGGACAAUGGGCGAAAGCCUGAUCCAGCAAUGCCGCGUGUGUGAAGAAGGCCUUCGGGUUGUAAAGCACUUUUGUCCGGAAAGAAAUCCUUGGCUCUAAUACAGUCGGGGGAUGACGGUACCGGAAGAAUAAGCACCGGCUAACUACGUGCCAGCAGCCGCGGUAAUACGUAGGGUGCAAGCGUUAAUCGGAAUUACUGGGCGUAAAGCGUGCGCAGGCGGUUUGCUAAGACCGAUGUGAAAUCCCCGGGCUCAACCUGGGAACUGCAUUGGUGACUGGCAGGCUAGAGUAUGGCAGAGGGGGGUAGAAUUCCACGUNUAGCAGUGAAAUGCGUAGAGAUGUGGAGGAAUACCGAUGGCGAAGGCAGCCCCCUGGG
RNAcentral lists this ribosomal RNA (386 nucleotides) under uncultured bacterium. Its description in RNAcentral is "partial 16S ribosomal RNA". It matches the Rfam family "Bacterial small subunit ribosomal RNA", at positions 355 to 733 of the family's 1533-position model. The record is from RNAcentral.